RNAcentral lists this ribosomal RNA (137 nucleotides) under Gammaproteobacteria bacterium. Its description in RNAcentral is "partial 23S ribosomal RNA". It matches the Rfam family "Bacterial large subunit ribosomal RNA", at positions 2806 to 2925 of the family's 2925-position model. The record is from RNAcentral. Lineage: Bacteria; Pseudomonadati; Pseudomonadota; Gammaproteobacteria.
GAGUUCUCACUGGAACUUUAAGUUCCCUAAAGGGCCCUAGUAGACUACUAGGUUGAUAGGCUGGGUGUUGAAGAGUAGUAAUACUUGAAGCUAACCAGUACUAAUUACCCGUGAGGUUUGACUAUAUAACAUCCAAG